GUGAUUUUAUAAGAUGUAGUUGUUAUUGUUAGUUAGGUUGUUGUUGCUGUUGGUAUAGUUAGUUAGAUUGUGUGUCAUUAUUUGUAUGUUGCUGUUGUUUUGUCUCUGAAUAAAUAUUUGUUAAAGUAGACGGACCAGAGUUUAUAUGUGUAUGCGUACAUAAUAAUUUAUAGAGUUUGGUAAUUUACCACAGACCAUAUCUCUGAACUAUUGGAGGACUACACAUAUUAACCUUAAGUAUAUCUUUCAGCUAUUUGUCUACAAUAUCAUUUAUUGAUGAACU
This is a non-coding RNA of Pelobates cultripes (western spadefoot toad), 283 nucleotides long. Lineage: Eukaryota; Metazoa; Chordata; Amphibia; Anura; Pelobatidae. The record is from the annotation of a GenBank genome assembly.